GGUCCUGGGUCCAGAGUGGGUGGAGACGGCGAGACCCCAACCAAGCUGCGGCGGUUCGUGGGGUCUGCAGUGGUUAUGGUGUCAGGCAGAGUGCUUGGAGUCCUCGGAAAGCACUAGGAGCAUCCGUCGGCGGAAGGUACCCGGUCGGGGUGCCAGCGGUUCCGUUACACAGUGUAAACCCACAAUGGUGGACGGAUCGACCAGAUAGGACAUGGCAAGGUGUCAUGGCGGUAGCUCCGUUCCCAUCAGCCAGUGUAAACCCACAAUGGUGCACUGAUCGACAAGAUAGGACAUGGCAAGGUGUCCGGGCGGGAGCUCCGUUCCCAUCAGCCAGUGUAA
Molecule: non-coding RNA, 339 nt
Organism: Pelobates cultripes (western spadefoot toad)
Lineage: Eukaryota; Metazoa; Chordata; Amphibia; Anura; Pelobatidae
Source: the annotation of a GenBank genome assembly